Oryzias melastigma (Indian medaka) is the source of this 759-nucleotide long non-coding RNA. RefSeq lists it as uncharacterized. The record is from RefSeq and is a predicted model, not a curated record. NCBI's taxonomy places the organism in Eukaryota, Metazoa, Chordata, Actinopteri, Beloniformes, Adrianichthyidae. The transcript has 2 exons.
CCGUCAUAUCCCUAAUAACAAAUUCAUUUUUUAUGUGGAGGAUAUUUUUCUGUUAAAACUACUAAUGUUUUGACUCUUUUCUACAGAUAUACGAGGUUGUGGAGAAGACAACAUCUGGCAGCUAAUGAAAAAGUCAAACUACAUUACCAAGGAUGGGAACGCUCCUCUGCACCUCUUUCCUGGAGAAGUCUGGCCAUGUGUGAUCCAAAAGUAACACCUGAGGAGAUCAGUCCUCUCCAACUGGAGUUACAGACCCUCACGGCCUCCUCCAAGGAUUUGGGUUACUCAGAGAGAGGUCUACUUAAGCUGGGCCCUCAGGUCUGCAGUGCUACUGCCUCCACAUGCUCAACCACGUCCUGAAGGCCAACUCUCAAGUACUGUCACAAAAUGCCCAGCUGAAGGAGCAGAGAAGAACAUCUGCAGCUGAGUUCCAGGAUCAACUCAGAGAACAGGGACUGAGCAGGUCUGAGGUAACCCAGAGCAAACCCAGCAGUUCUGGAUGCAUGUACAUCCGUGUCUUUGAAGACUGCAGUUCUUUUUUAAUAUUUUGGCUGAAAACAUCAUAAUCAUAAUAAUUUUGGCUAAAAGAUUCCGUAAGAAAGCGGAAGAAAAAUAAACAAAGCUAAAACAAUAUAGAACCUUUUUUGCUGUUUGGGCUGUGUGUGUCCUUUUGUGUCGUUUUUGUUUUGCUACACACUGCUCAUGUCUGUUUGGGCUUAGGCCCUUCUUUUGAGGCUUCUUAGGGCUUUUUACAUUUUU